This 5621-nucleotide long non-coding RNA is filed under the name Sus scrofa (pig). RNAcentral describes it as "lncRNA (ENSSSCG00050032577.1)". Lineage: Eukaryota; Metazoa; Chordata; Mammalia; Artiodactyla; Suidae. The record is from RNAcentral.
UGGCACAUGGAAGUGCCCAGGCUAGGGGUUGAAUUGGAGCCACCUAUACCACAGCUCACAGCAAAGCCAGGUCCUUAACCCACUGUGUGAGGCCAGGGAUAUAACUCUAAUCCUCAUGGAUACUAGUUGGGUUUGUUACUGCUGAACCACGAUAGAAACUCCCUGUUUCAUCUUUUAAAUGGUCUUUUGCAAAAUUUAAACUGAAUUACAAAAGCACCAGCUGAGGUCAGUUGAUGCUGCCCUACUUUUUUUUUUUUCCCCCAGAUACUCUAUUCCCUUAUAAAGGAUAAAUUCUGCAUAAAUUGUAAUGCUGGAAAGUUCACAGACCUGAAAUUGGGCAUAAGGUCUAGAAAGGUCAUUUAUGUUACUUACCUUGUCUCCUGGAAAUUCUAAGUUCUGUGCUUUUAUACAAGUCUUAAAUAAAUCAGAAAACAUUCCAUUUCCUGCUUUGCAUCCACCGUUCUUCUAUGACUGGCUACCCCUCCGUUUGCCAUGGGAAGCCAUUUGUCGUCAUAUACCAGACAGGUCCUAGCAUUUGAGUGCUGUAUCUCCUCUUUUCCUGCAGAUAUUGCUGUGCCAAUAUCUCCUCUGCUUUAUAGAAAGAGCAUCACCAUAGAGACAAAUACAUGAAAAGGAAGAAACCCCCCUAUUAGCACAAGACCCUCUGUAGAUAACAACCAAGCUCCCUCUUUCCCUUUAUAAUCAUUCUUCAAAGGAAGCUGAACUGCUCCAUUUUCCUCUUUCAUUUUUACCCUUUGUUUCUAGCUCUGAUGCAAAGCUUUUAUUCCCACCAUUUCACUAAAACUAGAAGUUUAGAGUCUAGAAGUUCUCCAAAGGCUUAUAUUAUUUUUUGCUUAAUCUAAACACAGCACCACACACACACACCACACACACCACACACACACACACUCAAAUUUACACAUUUGCAUUAUUUGACAUCCCAAGUUAAUUCCUGAUGCUGAUAAUUUUCAAAUCUGAAACUCCCAAACUGUACUUUUAUUUUGAGCCCUAGCCCAGUAUCCUCUUUCUUGGUGGAUCUGAGCAUCUUAAUUAAACAAGUCUAAAAUUUAUCUCCGCUCUGCCAAGCCCACGAGACUUGUUCCUUCUGGAAUCCAUAUGGGUAAGUGGUGAGUUGUGUCACAUUCUAUCUAACACCUAAGGAUGAUCCUGGGUGCUACCUGCUCCUGGCUUCCCAUUUCCAUCAGUCACCCAGCCCUCAAGCUCUACCUGGUAAAUCUGUUAAUGUCACUACCUUGGUUCAUGCCCCAUCAUGUCUUCCCAUCCAUGUUUUAAUAUCAUUUAUAAUGAUUGUGAAGUCUAACACAUAAGAAAAUAGCAUAAAACUCCAAUAUAUAGUAUUUUCUAAAAGCCAUGUAACUAGUAUUCAGGUCAAGGAAAAAAAACAUUCUAGCAAUUUAGAAGCCCUUGAAUCAUCUUUUUUUGGUAACAUCCAAAACCAUGAGGCUUGUUUUAGGAGGAUUGCUUUCCUCCUCUGUUUUAUCACCAACAAAUGCAUCUGUAAGCUGUGGAGUGUGACUUGCCUGUUUAUGAGGAAGGUAUACUCUUCUAUUCCGUGAUUUUAAAAAAUUAUACAUGCCCUUUUUUAUUAUAAUUGAUUUACAGUGAUCUGUCCAUUUCUGUUGUACUGCACAGUGACUCAGUAUUACACAUACACACAUAUAUACCACACAUAUGUAUAUUUCUCAUAUUAUCUUCCAUCAUAUUUCGUCACAAGUGAUUAGAUAUAUAGUUCCCUGCGCUAUACAGCAGGAUCCCAUUGUCCAUCCACUCAAAAUGCAAGUUUUCAUCUACUGACCCCACAUUCCCAAUCCAUCCCACUCUCUCCCCUCCCCCUUGGCAAACACGAGUCUGCCCAUGAUCUUUUCUGUUUUGUGGAUAGAUCAUUUGUAUCAUAUUUUAGACUCCACAUAUAAGUGAUAUCAUAUGGUGUUUGUUUUUCUCUUUCGGACUUAUUUCACUCAGUAUGAGAGUCUCUAAUUCCAUCCAUGUUGCUGCAAAUGGCUUAUUUUGUCCUUUUUAUGGCUGAGUAGUAUUCCAUUGUGUAUAUGUACCACAUCUUCCUAAUCCAUUCAUCUGUUGGUGGGCAUUAGUAUUCUGUGAUUUUUAUUUUGUUUUAAUUUCUCUUUUUUUCUGCACCCACAACAGAAAAUUUCCUGGGCCAGGGAUUGAACCCACAUCACUGCAGUAACCAGAGCUACCUCAGUGAUAGGGCUGGAUCCUUAACCCAUUGAGCCACAUGGGAAUUCUUGUUUCACUUUUUCAUUUACCGCCCAUGUUGCUGAUCAUGUUCAGUGCUAUGUAUUGCUCCAUGACAUGGAUAUAGAUCACUUUUCCCCAUUGUUCACUGGGUGGGCAUUUAGAGGGUCCUUAGUUUUGAGCUAAUCAUAGGGACCUCACCAUAAUCCACUCCCAAGUGUUCCAUGGUAUAUUCCUUGGGGUGGGGCGAGUGCCAGUUCCAAUUACUUAGCCCAUCAUUUCCUGGAAUGGAGGUAUGACAUGAAUUUGGAAGUGACUUUGCAACACCUAUAGACCUCUCUUUUUCCAAAUGACUUCCUUCCUUUUGCCUUUCAUACCAAGGAACUUGUCAGGAAGCAGAUCUGAUGAUGUCCCUCUUCUAUGCAGCAUCUCUUCCAUGGCUCCUCUUGGUCUUGGACAACAUCUAAAUUCUCUAACCAUGGCAUUAGGGUCAGAUAUCUGUCCACCUUUCCAGACUUCAGUUCUGCCAUUUGCCCACCUCGAUUCUAUCUCUUAGCCACGCAGAAGUACUUGCAGCUACUGAAACACUAUAGGUUUGUGUCCAUAUCUGGCCCUUUACACAUAAUUUUUUUUCAUUUAAAUCAAAGUCUUUAGUAGAUCAUUCCCUCAUCCCCAGCCUGAGUUCAUUAAACGUUCCCAGUAUUCAAAAGUCACUCUGGUUGUACAUCUAUUAUAGAAGCGAUCAGGCAAUGUUAGAAGUGUCUUUAUACUUAAUUUAUUCCUAUCCUGUCUUCUUAUUCAAAGGAGUUUACAGAAAAGAUACAAUAAAAAUGGAGCCAUAAGUAAGUAAAAAUCAGAACAAAGCAAAGCAUAGCUAGACUACACAAUAAAGAUAGGAACAUUGGAAAUUAGAUACACAAGCUUUGAGAUUCAGUGUGGCCAUUAAAAUUUGGUCUGGGGUAGACACUGAGAAUCAGAGACCACCAAACAGAUGAGUGUCUUCACCACAGAAUGAGGGUAGGGGGCUGCAUAUUUCAGCUCUGCAAUCCCCAGUGCCUGGGACCUCCUUGGUACAGUGGAUGUUGGGGUGGAUACUCAAGGUAUUUGUCUGUCACCUUUGGGAAUUGCAGCCUCAUUCAUGCACUGUAGAAUGAAAAAGUUCAGGCUCACUGGGUCAUCUGGAGAGAUGAGUGUUAUCUACAAGCUGUAGUCACGAACUCAGCUGUCUACAGGGACAAUCUGUCAUGAGAAAUUAGUAAGAUGGACUCGGGGUAGGAAAUAUGAAGCACAAGCAGACCUCUGGUGACAAGGAGAACCCAGGCUCUCUGUGAAGCAGAAGCACACAGCUGCCAAACCAUCCAGCUUUCCAAUGGAAGUCAAAUGCCUGGAUAGUUUAAAUGGGGGAUUUUUUUCUGGCUUUUAAAAGUUGGCGAUUCAUUUUCUAAUUCAUAUUUUAAAAAUACUAUGGAGGUCCCCACUGAGUGAGCUAAGCACAUCUCAGCGGUAGGCCUCCUGGAAUUGACUGGAAAGGAAAACAAUAAUGGAGAGUAUUUAUUUUAUUUUAGCCUAGUUUAUUGUAUUUUAUUUUAUUUUAAAGUAUAGUUGAUUUGCAAUGUUUCUUCAAUUUCUGUUGUACAGCAUAGUGACCCAGUUACAUACAGUUCCCUGUGAUGUACAGAAGGGCCCCAUUGCCCAACCAUUCCAAAGGUGACAGUCUGCAUCCCCCAAAUCCCUACUAAACAUAAAGAAAAAGAAAAGUCAGCUAAAACACCUUUGUGAAACUUAAAUAUUCACAUUCUCCUGUUUUUCUGAUUUUUUUUUUUUUUAACAUAGUGGACAGAAGAACUCUCGGGUUUAGGAAAUUGUGGUGUAAUAAGAAAUACUUUUUUGGCUGUUGCCACUGCUUCCUGGCACACAGUUCCUAAAACUCUUGGAAUCUCCGGAGUGAUAAGAAUGUCUUGUUUGCUAAUGAGGAGACUGGUGGCUGGGGCCCCCCAGAUAGCUUUAAAAUGAGGGCUUAUCUCCAGAAAGACAAAGCCUUGAUUAGAAGGUUGGCAAUUUUAAGUGUAUAGAAGCUCUGCCCCCUCCCCAAACCUUGCCCACAUGUUGCUUCCCCUAACUGCUCCUGGGUUGUACCGUUCAUAAUACAUUCGUUUCCAAAGUUCUGUGAGCCACUCUAAGCCAAUGACCAAACCUGAAAGGGGGGCAGUGGUGGGCACUCCUGACAUAGUAGCCAAGUUGGACAGAAAUGUGGGCACUCCAGGCUUCUACUACUUUUGACCAGUAAGACUCAGCCUUUAAACGUGUGGGCUCUAAGCUAACUCUGGGUAGUUAGUGCCAGAAUGGAAUUGAAGUAGGACACCCAACAGGGGACUGAGUGGAGAGUUAGAAAACUGAGUGUGGGUGUGAAAAAAAAAAACCCAUUUGGUGUCAGAUGUGUUGUGAGUAAAAACAGACCAUUGAAGUAUCGGAAGCUGCCUUUUAAUAACUGCUCUCACUGAGCCAGAAGGACCAGCAGGUGGAAAAUAAGUUGUUUUGAGACCAACAUGGGGUCAUAAACUAGGCGUUCAUGACCACUCUCUGAGAGGCUGCCAUGCACAGAGGCUGAAUAUCUCAGGGAUAAAAGUCUUAUAUUUACCUCCUGAAAACCGCACUCCCUUCUUUCAAACCAUUCACUACAUCCUGUUCACAUUACAUGGACCAACAGAAUUUACCCUACUGUUUAUUUGCCCUUUAAACUUGACUUGGGAAUUUUUACCUCUAGCUAGCAAGAAGAGAUCUUAAUCUGAUUUCUCUUGGGAAAAUGCACUAAGACAGAGAAUACCAAUGUUCCUUUUUUUACUAUGCAGCCCAAGAUGCUAAACGCCUUUUAAUCAACACUUUCUCAUUUCCCAGUUUCACCAUAGCAGUCUCAUCCAUGAGAAUAAUGUAAAGGUUUCUCAGAAUACUUAUUGUUUAUUCAGUACACCAAACAAUUGUCAUCCUAUAGGCUGCUUUAAAUUUUGUUUAUUGGUUAAAUUGCUGUAGCACGUGAUUCUUAAAUCCUUAAAUUCUAGAAACUAAAGCUUGAGGAAAAGGAGGAUGUGUUUUACACUACACUAUUUAAAUGUAGAACAAAAUAAGCUUGGAGGGUAAAUUGGCAACAAAAACAAUCCCUUAGAAAGUAAAGGAAGGAGUUCCCAUUGUAGCUCAAUGGAAAAGAAUCUGACUAGGAACCAUGACGUUGCCGAUUCGAUCCCUGGCCUCGCUUAGGGGGUUAAGGAUCCAGCAUUGCAGUGAGCUACGGUUGUAGGUCACAGAGGUGGCUUGGAUCUGGCUGUGGCUGUGGUGUAGGCCAGCAGCUGUAGCUCCGAUUUGACCCCUAGCCUGUGAAUCUCCAUAUGCCGUGGGCGAAGCCCUAAAAA